CAACAAGAAGUGAAAACACCACAAGUAAAUGAAUGAACAUUUAGUUUUCGUUCUUUUGCUCUUUUUUAUUCUUUCCUUCAU
Molecule: non-coding RNA, 81 nt
Filed under: Chaetoceros affinis
Lineage: Eukaryota; Bacillariophyta; Thalassiosirophyceae; Chaetocerotales; Chaetocerotaceae
Source: RNAcentral